AUUGAACGCUGGCGGCAGGCUUAACACAUGCAAGUCGAGCGGGGAAGAGUAGCUUGCUACUUUACCCAGCGGCGGACGGGUGAGUAAUGCUGAGGAAUCUGCCUAUUAGUGGGGGACAACAUCUCGAAAGGGAUGCUAAUACCGCAUACGUCCUACGGGAGAAAGCAGGGGAUCUUCGGGCCUUGCGCUAAUAGAUGAGCCUAAGUCGGAUUAGCUAGUUGGUGGGGUAAAGGCCGACCAAGGCGACGAUCUGUAGCGGGUCUGAGAGGAGGGUCCGCCACACUGGGACUGAGACACGGCCCAGACUCCUACGGGAGGCAGCAGUGGGGAAUAUUGGACAAUGGGGGGAACCCUGAUCCAGCCAUGCCGCGUGUGUGAAGAAGGCCUUUUGGUUGUAAAGCACUUUAAGCGAGGAGGAGGCUACCGAGAUUAAUACUCUUGGAUAGUGGACGUUACUCGCAGAAUAAGCACCGGCUAACUCUGUGCCAGCCGCCGCCGUAA
Molecule: ribosomal RNA, 501 nt
Filed under: uncultured bacterium
Lineage: Bacteria
Description: partial 16S ribosomal RNA
Rfam family: Bacterial small subunit ribosomal RNA
Source: RNAcentral